Molecule: ribosomal RNA, 328 nt
Filed under: uncultured soil bacterium
Lineage: Bacteria
Description: bacterial SSU rRNA
Rfam family: Bacterial small subunit ribosomal RNA
Source: RNAcentral
AGAUUGAACGCUGGCGGCAGGCCUAACACAUGCAAGUCGAGCGGUAGAGAGGUGCUUGCAUCUCUUGAGAGCGGCGGACGGGUGAGUAAUGCCUAGGAAUCUGCCUAGUGGUGGGGGAUAACGUUCGGAAACGGACGCUAAUACCGCAUACGUCCUACGGGAGAAAGCGGGGGACCUUCGGGCCUCGCGCCAUUAGAUGAGCCUAGGUCGGAUUAGCUAGUUGGUGAGGUAAUGGCUCACCAAGGCGACGAUCUGUAGCUGGUUUGAGAGGACGACCAGCCACACUGGGACUGAGACACGGCCCAGACUCCGUACGGGAGCAGCAGGU